RNAcentral lists this ribosomal RNA (116 nucleotides) under Danio rerio (zebrafish). The record is from RNAcentral. Lineage: Eukaryota; Metazoa; Chordata; Actinopteri; Cypriniformes; Danionidae.
GGCCACAGCCAUAUCACCCUACAGCCCAACACUGGUUACUCACUGAAGCUAAGCAGGGCUGAGCCUGGUCAGUACCUGAAUGGAAGACCACAUAGAAAACUAGGUUGCUGUUGGAA